This 564-nucleotide ribosomal RNA is filed under the name Triticum aestivum (bread wheat). RNAcentral's name for it is "partial small subunit ribosomal RNA". The record is from RNAcentral. Lineage: Eukaryota; Viridiplantae; Streptophyta; Magnoliopsida; Poales; Poaceae.
AUGUGUAGACCGGAUGGCAUCAACAUACCAGAUGGCAAGUCCUACCUAGGUGAUGCUGGCUAUGCAUGUCGGUCUGGUGUUAUUCCACCCUUCAGGAAAACCAGGUACCAUCUGAACGGGUUCUCUGGUAGAAACUAUCAUAGGACUCAUCGGGAACCGUUCAAUCUCAAAGACACCAUCCUUAGAGUAACGGUUGAGAUGGCAUUUGGAGCUCUGAAGAAUAUGUUUAAGAUCCUGGAUCAGAAGCCAUUCCACCCUUACCCUACCCAGACUAAGCUUAUUCUUGCAUGUUGCAUCAUUCACAAUCGGAUCCUACAAUGGGAUUGUGAUGAACUUGUGCCAGAGGAGGAAGAUGUGAUAUCUGAUGAUGUGAUCAGUACCGACCAUGAGGUCAGACAAGAGUCUGAAGAAGAAGAAGAAGAAGAAGAAGAAGAAGAAGCACAACAACAGAAGAAGAAGAAGAGGAAGAGGAAUCAAAACCAGAAGAUGAUGGACUUCCACCUAGUUGAACUUUUCCCUAUUCAGCCAUAUUGGCUCUUAAUAACUUGUACCAUCAUUUGCUAG